Molecule: ribosomal RNA, 465 nt
Filed under: uncultured bacterium
Lineage: Bacteria
Description: partial 16S ribosomal RNA
Rfam family: Bacterial small subunit ribosomal RNA
Source: RNAcentral
GACGAACGCUGGCGGCGUGCUUAACACAUGCAAGUCGAACGGAAAGGCCCCUUCGGGGGUACUCGAGUGGCGAACAGGUGAGUAACACGUGAGUAACCUUCCCUUGACUUCUGGAUAACUUCAGGAAACUGGGGCUAAUACCGGAUAGGAAUCCUUGCUGCAUGUUGGGGGUUGGAAAGCUUCGGCGGUUUUGGAUGGACUCGCGGCUUAUCAGCUUGUUGGUGGGGUAGUGGCUUACCAAGGCUUUGACGGGUAGCCGGCCUGAGAGGGCGACCGGCCACAUUGGGACUGAGAUACGGCCCAGACUCCUACGGGAGGCAGCAGUGGGGAAUAUUGCACAAUGGGCGGAAGCCUGAUGCAGAAACGCCGCGUGCGGGAGGACGGGCUUCGGGUUGUAAACCGCUUUCAGCAGGGGCGAAGCUUGUGGUGACGGUACCUGCAGAAGAAGCACCGGCUAACUACGUG